AUAAUGAUGAUUUCAUAUUUAUAAAAGGCGGGGACCUUCGGGCCUGCCGCUGAGAGAUUGGUUCGCGUCCCAUUAGCUUGUUGGUAGGGUAACGGCCUACCAAGGCGACGAUGGGUAGCCGGCCUGAGAGGGCGACCGGCCACACUGGGAUUGAGAUACGGCCCAGACUCCUUCGGGAGGCAGCAGUCGAGAAUCUUCCACAAUGGACGAAAGUCUGAUGGAGCGACGCCGCGUGAGGGAUUAAGGCUUUCUGAGUCGUAAACCUCUGUCAGGAGAGAAGAACAGCAUCCCUAUGAAUAGUAUGGAUGUUUGACGUUAUCUCCAGAGGAAGCUCCGGCUAACUCCGUGCCAGCAGCCGCGGUAAUACGGGGGGAGCAAGCGUUGUCCGGAAUCAUUGGGCGUAAAGGGCGUGUAGGUGGUUUUGUAAGUCGAAUGUGAAAUCUCACGGCUCAACCGUGAAAUUGCGUUCGAAACUACAAGACUUGAGUUAGGGAGAGGUGUACGGAAUUCCUGGUGUAGCGGUGGAAUGCGUAGAUAUCAGGAAGAACACCAAUGGCGAAGGCAGUACACUGGCCUGUAACUGACACUGAGGCGCGAAAGCGUGGGGAGCAAACAGGAUUAGAUACCCUGGUAGUCCACGCUGUAAACGAUGGAUACUAGGUUUUGGGGGUCUCAACCCCUUCAGAGCCGUAGCUAACGCGUUAAGUAUCCCGCCUGGGGAGUACGAUCGCAAGGUUGAAACUCAAAGGAAUUGACGGGUUCCCGCACAAGCGGUGGAGCAUGUGCUUUAAUUCGAGGCAACGCGAAGAACCUUACCUGGGCUUGACAUGGGAGCUCUCCCUUCGGGGGGGGUUAGCUAUGUGAAAGCAUGGUUAGUCCACACAGGUGUUGCAUGGCUGUCGUCAGCUCGUGUCGUGAGAUGUUCGGUUAAGUCCGGCAACGAGCGCAACCCUCGCUGUCAGUUACCAACGGGUAAUGCCGGGGACUCUGACAGGACUGCCGGUGAUAAACCUGAGGAAGGCGGGGAUGACGUCAAGUCAUUAUGACCCUUACGCCCAGGGCUAGACACGUUCUACAAUGGUCGGUACAAUGAGCAGCGAGACCGCGAGGUGGAGCAAAUCUCAAAAAGCCGGCCCUAGUACGGAUUGCAGUCUGCAACUCGACUGCAUGAAGCUGGAAUCGCUAGUAAUCGCGUAUCAGCAUGACGCGGUGAAUACGUUCCCGGGAGU
RNAcentral lists this ribosomal RNA (1229 nucleotides) under metagenome. RNAcentral describes it as "bacterial SSU rRNA". It matches the Rfam family "Bacterial small subunit ribosomal RNA", at positions 173 to 1381 of the family's 1533-position model. The record is from RNAcentral.